RNAcentral lists this transfer RNA (73 nucleotides) under Bacteriophage sp. RNAcentral describes it as "tRNA-Ile". The record is from RNAcentral.
AGCCUAUUAGCUCAGCGGAUAGAGCGGCAUUCUUAUAAAAUGUGCGUGCCAAGUUCAACUCUUGGAUAGGCUA